UGCUUCUAUGACGUUAGCGGCGGACGGGUGAGUAACACGUGGGCAACCUGCCUGUAAGACUGGGAUAACUUCGGGAAACCGAAGCUAAUACCGGAUAGGAUCUUCUCCUUCAUGGGAGAUGAUUGAAAGAUGGUUUCGGCUAUCACUUACAGAUGGGCCCGCGGUGCAUUAGCUAGUUGGUGAGGUAACGGCUCACCAAGGCAACGAUGCAUAGCCGACCUGAGAGGGUGAUCGGCCACACUGGGACUGAGACACGGCCCAGACUCAUACGGGAGGCAGCAGUAGGGAAUCUUCCGCAAUGGACGAAAGUCUGACGGAGCAACGCCGCGUGAGUGAUGAAGGCUUUCGGGUCGUAAAACUCUGUUGUUAGGGAAGAACAAGUACAAGAGUAACUGCUUGUACCUUGACGGUACCUAACCAGAAAGCCACGGCUAACUACGUGCCAGCAGCCGCGGUAAUACGUAGGUGGCAAGCGUUAUCCGGAAUUAUUGGGCGUAAAGCGCGCGCAGGCGGUUUCUUAAGUCUGAUGUGAAAGCCCACGGCUCAACCGUGGAGGGUCAUUGGAAACUGGGGAACUUGAGUGCAGAAGAGAAAAGCGGAAUUCCACGUGUAGCGGUGAAAUGCGUAGAGAUGUGGAGGAACACCAGUGGCGAAGGCGGCUUUUUGGUCUGUAACUGACGCUGAGGCGCGAAAGCGUGGGGAGCAAACAGGAUUAGAUACCCUGGUAGUCCACGCCGUAAACGAUGAGUGCUAAGUGUUAGAGGGUUUCCGCCCUUUAGUGCUGCAGCUAACGCAUUAAGCACUCCGCCUGGGGAGUACGGUCGCAANACUGAAACUCAAAGGAAUUGACGGGGGCCCCGCACAAGCGG
Molecule: ribosomal RNA, 869 nt
Filed under: uncultured bacterium
Lineage: Bacteria
Description: bacterial SSU rRNA
Rfam family: Bacterial small subunit ribosomal RNA
Source: RNAcentral